UACGAAGGAUCCAAGCGUUAUCCGGAUUUAUUGGGUUUAAAGGGCGCGUAGGCGGCGUGUCAAGUCAGGCGUGAAAGCCCCGGGCUCAACCUGGGAACCGCGCUUGAGACUGGCAUGCUCGAGUUCGGGAGAGGAUGGUGGAAUUCCCAGUGUAGAGGUGAAAUUCGUAGAUAUUGGGAAGAACACCGAUGGCGAAGGCAGCCAUCUGGACCGACACUGACGCUGAGGCGCGAAAGCGUGGGGAGCAAACAGG
This 253-nucleotide ribosomal RNA is filed under the name uncultured bacterium. Its description in RNAcentral is "partial 16S ribosomal RNA". It matches the Rfam family "Bacterial small subunit ribosomal RNA", at positions 524 to 776 of the family's 1533-position model. The record is from RNAcentral.